UGGGUCGUAUCUGCCUUUAUCACUGUUCACAGAGUUGGAUUGUGGCCAACCCCUUGAUGAGUAUUCUUUUGUUGUUUUCAUGAAAUUUUUGAGGUGAGAAAUCAGUGGUUAAAGAGAGAGCCUAAUAAAUUUUAUAUUUGAAAUGGCUUAGGUUGAUAAGCCUUGCUGUUCUCUUGUUAUCUUAUCAGAAUUAACUGUAUCCAAGAUUGAUGAUUUGGUGAUA
This is a long non-coding RNA of Hibiscus syriacus, 223 nucleotides long. RefSeq lists it as uncharacterized. The transcript is spliced from 3 exons. NCBI's taxonomy places the organism in Eukaryota, Viridiplantae, Streptophyta, Magnoliopsida, Malvales, Malvaceae. The record is from RefSeq and is a predicted model, not a curated record.